This 378-nucleotide long non-coding RNA is filed under the name Meriones unguiculatus (Mongolian gerbil). Its description in RNAcentral is "lncRNA (ENSMUGG00000001997.1)". The record is from RNAcentral. Lineage: Eukaryota; Metazoa; Chordata; Mammalia; Rodentia; Muridae.
UAUAGAAGUGUUUUUUGACAUUUUAUUUUUCCAGACAUAAUGGCAUGCCUGUAGUGCUAACAUUCAAAAGGCAGAGGCAGGAGAACUUCUGAGAGUCCAAGGCUACGUGAUAACAUACUGUCUCAAAACAAACAUACCAACUUUCAAGUGUGUCUUCAGAAGCUCAGUCUGGUCUGUGUGAUGCAGUUUUCUCAUCGAGUUGGCUCUGUUUGGGAAGCGGCAGCCACUACCUCCUGCAGAAGCUCUACCGCUUUCACACAAAUGAGCGAGAAUCAUCCCUGACUCAAUGCUGGGAAGAGGACAGGAUGCUGGCUAGAACACAAGAGUUGAGUGACUAAGAAUUAUGGCAGUGCUCCAGAACAUGGUGGAUGAUGUGGU